Molecule: ribosomal RNA, 1443 nt
Filed under: uncultured organism
Description: 16S ribosomal RNA
Rfam family: Bacterial small subunit ribosomal RNA
Source: RNAcentral
CAGGAUGAACGCUAGCUACAGGCUUAACACAUGCAAGUCGAGGGGCAGCAUUUCAGUUUGCUUGCAAACUGGAGAUGGCGACCGGCGCACGGGUGAGUAACACGUAUCCAACCUGCCGAUAACUCGGGGAUAGCCUUUCGAAAGAAAGAUUAAUACCCGAUGGCAUAAUUAGACCGCAUGGUCUUAUUAUUAAAGAAUUUCGGUUAUCGAUGGGGAUGCGUUCCAUUAGGCAGUUGGUGAGGUAACGGCUCACCAAACCUUCGAUGGAUAGGGGUUCUGAGAGGAAGGUCCCCACAUUGGAACUGAGACACGGUCCAAACUCCUACGGGAGGCAGCAGUGAGGAAUAUUGGUCAAUGGGCGCAGGCCUGAACCAGCCAAGUAGCGUGAAGGAUGACUGCCCUAUGGGUUGUAAACUUCUUUUAUAUGGGAAUAAAGUUUUCCACGUGUGGAAUUUUGUAUGUACCAUAUGAAUAAGGAUCGGCUAACUCCGUGCCAGCAGCCGCGGUAAUACGGAGGAUCCGAGCGUUAUCCGGAUUUAUUGGGUUUAAAGGGAGCGUAGGUGGACAGUUAAGUCAGUUGUGAAAGUUUGCGGCUCAACCGUAAAAUUGCAGUUGAUACUGGCUGUCUUGAGUACAGUAGAGGUGGGCGGAAUUCGUGGUGUAGCGGUGAAAUGCUUAGAUAUCACGAAGAACUCCGAUUGCGAAGGCAGCUCACUGGACUGCAACUGACACUGAUGCUCGAAAGUGUGGGUAUCAAACAGGAUUAGAUACCCUGGUAGUCCACACAGUAAACGAUGAAUACUCGCUGUUUGCGAUAUACAGUAAGCGGCCAAGCGAAAGCAUUAAGUAUUCCACCUGGGGAGUACGCCGGCAACGGUGAAACUCAAAGGAAUUGACGGGGGCCCGCACAAGCGGAGGAACAUGUGGUUUAAUUCGAUGAUACGCGAGGAACCUUACCCGGGCUUAAAUUGCAUUUGAAUAUAUUGGAAACAGUAUAGCCGUAAGGCAAAUGUGAAGGUGCUGCAUGGUUGUCGUCAGUUCGUGCCGUGAGGUGUCGGCUUAAGUGCCAUAACGAGCGCAACCCUUAUCUUUAGUUACUAACAGGUCAUGCUGAGGACUCUAGAGAGACUGCCGUCGUAAGAUGUGAGGAAGGUGGGGAUGACGUCAAAUCAGCACGGCCCUUACGUCCGGGGCUACACACGUGUUACAAUGGGGGGUACAGAAGGCAGCUACCUGGUGACAGGAUGCUAAUCCCAAAAGCCUCUCUCAGUUCGGAUCGAAGUCUGCAACCCGACUUCGUGAAGCUGGAUUCGCUAGUAAUCGCGCAUCAGCCAUGGCGCGGUGAAUACGUUCCCGGGCCUUGUACACACCGCCCGUCAAGCCAUGAAAGCCGGGGGUACCUGAAGUACGUAACCGCAAGGAGCGUCCUAGGGUAAAACUGGU